AGCGAACGCUGGCGGCAGGCCUAACACAUGCAAGUCGAGCGGCAGCACGGGUACUUGUACCUGGUGGCGAGCGGCGGACGGGUGAGUAAUGCCUAGGAAUCUGCCUGGUAGUGGGGGAUAACGCUCGGAAACGGACGCUAAUACCGCAUACGUCCUACGGGAGAAAGCAGGGGACCUUCGGGCCUUGCGCUAUCAGAUGA
Molecule: ribosomal RNA, 200 nt
Filed under: uncultured bacterium
Lineage: Bacteria
Description: partial 16S ribosomal RNA
Rfam family: Bacterial small subunit ribosomal RNA
Source: RNAcentral